CUCCUAAUCUGUCUAAGUCAUUCUGUAGCCUGUUUUCUCAACACUGUCUGCCCCUCCACCAAUCUUCAUAGCAUCUGCAAAAUUGACAACAAAACCAUCUAUUCCAUCAUCUAAAUCAUUGAUAUACAACAUAAAAAUAAGUGGUCUCAUCUCCAACCCCUGCGGAACACCACUAGACACUGGCCACCAACCAGAAAUUAAUUACUUUUUUCCCCACUUGCUGCCUCCUACCAAUCAGCAAAUGCUCUAACCAUGCCAGUAAAUUUCUUGUAAUACCAUGGGCUCUUAAUUUGGUAAACAGCUUCAAGUGUGGCACCUUGACAAAGGCCUACUGAAAGUCCAAAUGUAGAGUACAACAUCCACUGUAAGCUCUUUAUCUAUCCUACUUGUAUUCUCCUUAAAAGAUUCUAACAGGUUCAUCAGGCAAGAUUCUCCCUUAAGGAAACCAUGGUGACUUUGUCCUGUCUUGUCUUGGAUCACUGAGUACUCCAUAACCUCACUGUUAACAAUUAACAUUUUCCCAACCACUGAAGUCAAGCUAACUGGUGAAUAAUUUCCUUUCUGCUAUCUUCCUCCUUUGUUAAAGAGUGGGUGACAUUUAUAAUUUUCCAAUGAUUUUUGAAAGAUCAUUACCAAUGCCUCCACAAUCUCUAUUACUACCUCUUUCAGAACCUUGGUGAUACUGGACAAGGGAAAAAGAAAGCAAUAGUAAUAGAUGUGUCAAUCCUGAAUGACAGUAACAUCAGGAAGAAAGAAUAAAAGAAGCUAGAGAAAUACUAGGACUUGAAAGGACAGAUAGAAAGGAUGUAGAAAGUUAAACUCAGAGUAAUCCCAGUGAAGACAGGAGCACUUGGAGCUGUGACACCUGGACUUGAGAGUGUCUCCAACAAAUCCUGGGAACAACAUCUGUGAUCUUGGUCCAGAGAGCACACUACAAGGAACAGCAAGGAUACUGCGCCGAACGCUCAAGCUCCCUGGACACUGGUUGAGGAUCUGAAAUUGAGGUCUCUGAAAGAAGUCUGGCCUUUAUAGUGAGCUCAGGUAAAUCUGGGAAGUAUUGUUGCAGUCAUACAACUCAGCCUGUUAAACAUCUGAAAGUCAAACACAUUGCAUCUUAACAAAGGAAGGGAUAUGACAUUAAUCCCUGGAAUUCUUCACCCCAGAGUUGUGGAAGUUGUCACUGAACAUGAUUAAGGUUGAAGCAGAAGACUAAGGGCAACACCAAUAUAAUAAUGUGAUCUACAAUACAGACAGCACAAUACACACGUAGAAUGAAAUGAUCGGUUGACCUUUCAGCCUGAGACCCUUCAUCAGGACCAGCAACUUGUGCAAGUUGCUCAAGAUUUCCAACAUCUGUAUAAUCACUUGUGUCUACAUGAUAUAGACUGCACACACAUGAUGCCUAAAAUGAGAUACAACAUUGAACAGGCCCUUCCAGCUCAGCAAAACACAUUGAUUUAACACUAGCCUAAUCACAGAACAAAUUACAAUGACUGAUUAACCUCCUGAGUGCAUUGUCUUUAGACUGUAGGAGGAAACCAGAGCACCUGGAGAAAACCCACGUGCACACGGGAAGAACAUAAAAACUUUCUUCGGGUGGAUGCUGGAACUGAACACUGAACUCUGACAUCCUGAGCUGUAAUAGUGUCAUGCUAACUGCUAUGCUGUCAUGGUGCUUCCAAGAAUAGAAAUAUCUAUGAGGGAUAUAGAUAGUGUGAAUGCGCUCAGUAUUUUUCCCAGGGCUGGGGAAUCAAGGAUGAGGACAUGGGUUUAAGGUAAGAGGAGAAUUGUUUAAUAGAACUUAAAGGGCAACUUUUUUCCACGAAGUGUAUUAUGUAUGUUGAAUGAGCUACCAGGAGAAGAAUUUGAGACAAGUACAAUGACAACUUUUAAAAGACAAUUGAACGGCUAUGUGGAUUGGAAAAGUUUAAUAUAUUAUAGUGUUUCCAGAUAGGGCUAGCUUGGAUAAGCUAUCUUGGUUGGCAUGGUCCAGUUGUGCUAAAGGACUUUUUUCAUGCUGUAUAAUGUUCUAUAUACUGUACAUUUAAGUUAAGAUAAUUUCCUAAGAAAUAAAAAAGACUUACAAGUCUAUAUAGACUUUUAUCAGCUCAGGAUGAACGAAAGUACUUCUCAGCCAAUUAAGUUCUGGUGUGGUCAUUGUUAUGAUGUCAGAAACAUAGGGUCUAAUUUGCCUCUAGAGUACCCCACCUCCAUCAAGUGUAACAACUAGAUCACUUUCAUUACUUUCAUAAUUUUCUUUGCAUUGGGUUUAAUGACAAAAAUUAUGCUGGCAUCAGAGAGGACUUGUCAGUUCUUGCUCAAAGUAAUCCUAGGGAAUGCUUGCUGCUAGCCUGAAAGAGCAAACUUUUGUUUAGCAGAGGGAUAUCAGUAUUAAUGAGACAUCACUUUCUCAGUACUACACUAAGACUAUUAGUUGAGAAAU
Molecule: long non-coding RNA, 2443 nt
Organism: Hypanus sabinus (Atlantic stingray)
Lineage: Eukaryota; Metazoa; Chordata; Chondrichthyes; Myliobatiformes; Dasyatidae
Exons: 5
Source: RefSeq, a predicted model, not a curated record